UGGUGACAACCCCCUGGCCCCAGCUGCCAGCGGACCACAGGUCUGGACGCCCACGGUCCUCGCAGCAUCGUCUCCGUUCCCAACUCGGCCGGAGCGGAACCGACUCCGUCGGGGAACCGACGAUCACCUACCGACCUGUGCUCCCUAUAAAGCCACCCGACCCCCGGAUCUCUUCCUCACCGUGGAAUAGAAUCGGUAGGCAUGGUAUAGGGGGGGCUUCCCCUAGUCGCUUGCUCCAUCGUGUCGUGGUGAACUGGUGAACUGCCCGUAUAGCGGGAGCCGAGCCAAGGCGGCAGGGGCGGCCGGAGGCGGGGGCCGAGCCCAGGCGGCAGGGGCGUCCGGCGGCGGGGGCCGAGCCUCUAUACGGGCUCGGCCCCCCCCCCCCCCCCCCCCCCCCCCCUAUACGGGCUCGGCCGGAGGCGGGGGCCGAGCCCAGGCGGCAGGGGUGGGUUUAUCGCUUAUUUCCGCUAAUACGCGGGAUAAGCGGGUACAAACAGGGCCCUAGUCGCUUGCUCCAUCGUGUCGUGGUGAACUGGUGAUGGGUAAGUCGUAGGUGAGCCAGCCGCAGUUAUUUUCGAUCUCAUGUUUGUUUUGUCGAUUGGUUGAUCAGGUGCGCGGGCUAGCCGGAUAGAUUGGGUUGCUUGUACUUUGCGGUGCUCGAUCCGUUCGAUUCCAGGUCUAGGUUGGAUGAUUCCCCUGCUUCCCCCAGGAUCCCUCUGUUUGGGGAAAUAGUUUUGUGUUGAUUUGUGACUAAUUACUAUUUGUUGAUAUCUAAGGUUCUGCAGCUCUUUUAUUUCGAUUUCUGUUCAAGGUCAGAUCGGUUUUAAUUGGGUAGCACGGAAAAUUUGGCUUGGCCGAAACAGGAUAACCUGAAGGGUUUGGUCUGGAUCUGUCUUUGGUUUGCAUGAUGAUUGGUCUGAUCAGGAUAAUUUGUUCGUACGCCUAAUUUUUGUGAUGGAAACUGUACCUGAUACUUGUUAUUGGAAUAUGGAGGCAAGUGGAGUGCUCAGAAUUCUACGGUUUUUGCAUUUGGCAUGUUCCUCUCAUGGUAGUCAGUCUCAUCAGAAGGUUUAGUUAUGAUAAGAUAUGGCUGCGUAGGUGUGUUUGGAAUUUACAAGUAUAUGGUGUCAAUUUGCUGUUUAUUUCGGCAAGCAGUAUUGGUCGGCUUAUUUGGUGCUGGUUGUGAGGUGUAUACAGAUCCAUGCACUGUAUGAAUCAUGGAUUCAUGGUUGCAUAGCGAUGCUUUAUUUGGCUGUUAGAACAAGAUUUUGAUUCAGUACUAUUGACAUACUCAUGAAGGUGGCUUGUUGUUCUAUCAUUAUCAAAUUGUUGUUCUAUCAUUAUCAAAUAGUCAGCUCAAUUGAAAGGUUCAUUUCAAGGAAAUUCAGAAUGUGGGUUUUAUAAUUGCUAUAUCUGUGCAGUGUAGUUUAGUGCUAGCUACAUGUGAAGCCAUCUGCUGGAAGAUUCUUCUAAGUACUAUUCUUGCUUUGAGGGCCAUGGAUGUAUGCUCUAAGUUGUGGUUUUCUUACUGAUGUGCUACUGAUGUGCUACUGAUGCGUGUUUAUCUGGUGGUACCUUAAGGUCUUCUGUCAGAUUAUGGUGUAGUGCUUUGGUCUGAAUCUCCUAGUCCUCUGGUGAUACUUCAGUCACAUUGUUUUGAAUGAAUCUUGGAUUUGCGGACUCUACUAGAUUUCAGCUUCUUAUCAUCUUAUGUUCCUUCAGUUACUGGACCAUGUGCCGGUUUCAGUGCCAGCUUCCUUCUGUUGUAACUUAUGUUUGUAUGUGUACUGUUAACCAAGCAUCUUCUCUAUGUCGGGAGUUGUAUUUGUGUAAUUUCAGUAUAGAAGGAUUUGUUGUAACCACUAUGUAUUAUUAACAUCUGGUUGUUUUGCAUAAUUCUUGGAGCAAUAGAAUUCUAACCUGAACUCUGUUUCAAAAGGUGGUGCUAGGCGGAGCAACGGCGCCUCGCCUAGCACUGUAAUGAACAAACAGCGGAGAUAGUGUAAAAUCCAGAUUUGAAAUACACUGUAGUUGGAAAAAAACAUUAAUUUCCAUUCAUAUUUAGGUCCUUAUUGAGGUCUGUUUAUGGAGUUAUGUAACCAACUUUUAACAAUUCUGAUGCAAUAUGUGUUGUAAUGAAUCAUACCUCAAGAUGUGUAUAGUAUGCAUUGUAAUGAAUCAUACCUCUAGCUGUGCACAGUUAAGAAAUCGUAUCUCUUUUAGUAUUGUAGAAAUAACUGCUUAGUUUUUAAGUAAACAUACAUCUUCUCGUUGCAAUAAAGCACUCUAUUUUAUUGAAUCUUCUUCACUAGUUUGCUUGUGCUGUCUAUCUACGCAUAUUGUGGCCAUAUUAGUUAUUUCUUGGCUGCAGGGGUUUAUUUUAAUUAGUGUCCACCAUUUAAUAAUGAACAACUAAACUGUUAUGUGCAUUAUUUUAAUGUAUUUCAAUCUAUUUUGGGUUUAAUCUUUGUAAGCAUUUAGGUCUGUUAAUUGUAUAUGAAUUUUUUAGCUAUUUUCCUGUUCUGUUGGCGAUAACCUAAUAGUGUGAACAAUUCUUUCCAGAUUGAUCCAUCGUUUUGUUUUGAUUUAGUCGCAAAAUCUUUUAGCUUCUAUUUCCUUUUGUUUCUCUUGGUCUGAAGCUAGUCAGAACUUGAAUCUUUCCUUGAUUAGAGGACUCUAGGAAAGUCUGCUCGUAGUUUUUUUGGUUGUUAUGAGUCUCAGCUGAAAAUGGUUUAUAUUUAUUCAUGUUCCAGUUUGCAAAACCAGUUUGAUUUAGUAAAUUUUCCUAAUCAUCUUGCUCUAUCUUGUUCCCUUUAUUACUAUUUUGAAGGAUUCUCUGAAUGAUUUGCUUAUGCUGGUAUAUGUGACUAUAACUCUAUUCAGUAGCAAUGGUGCCAACGUUUGGGGCAAGUAGGGAUUAGUUAAGUUCCAUGCUUAGUUUUAGACAUCUCUGUAAAAGCGAGUAGUAUGCUAGUCUAAACUCUUUGUUAGCGGUGUUCGCUCUCCAUCAAAGAUACUUGCAAGUUUGUGAAAAACCUUUUAUUUGAGGUUGCCUUGGUGAUCAUGUGAACUAACAAACCUGACUUGUCUCGUUUUGUUCAAAUGGAUGAUUGCUUCAUUUUUAUUAGAUGUUUCAUCAAUUUAGCUGAUUUCAAGCUAGGCAUAUCUGUAGAUAUCUAACUGGAGUUGUGCGCUGAUGUUUUUUCCUAUUAUUUAAUACUAACUUGCCUAUUAUCCUUUCCAGUUUGAACUGUAUUGCUAAGUUGUUUGCUGUCUCAUAUCAUUAUUUUUGGCCCUUUUUCUCGAACACGCGGGAGUGCUGUGCAUCAUUAUAUUAUGAAGAAACAUUAUUUUUGGCCCUUAAAUUCUGUGAUAAGUUUUGGCCCUUAAGUUCUGUGAUAAGAGAUCCUUCAUUUGUGUUACAUCCAAACUGAGUUUCCAACCCUUGGGUUUGGUGUUGUAUGCUACUCUGUAAAACACCUGCUGUUCUUUUUCUUCUUAAGAGUUAAAUUGUUAAUCGUAUUUAUUAUUGUUAUAUGCAGUUGUAAGUUGUGUUCUUUUAUACCACUGUUUAAUGUCAUAUCAUGCUUGGAUUUUUUUAUUGUGCUGUUAGUUGCUUUAUUUCUGUAAUAAACCACGGUCAAUUAGGUUCCUGUUAACUAUAUUUAACAUGUUUUUAGGUGCAUAGGAAGGGUUUAGAUUAGGACAUAUCAGUACUGUUCUAUUGUCUAGUUUUCUAGUCUAGAAGUAUUAUGUGAUUCAGAUCCUUUCUUCAACUUUCUUUGACAAACCCUGUGUGAGGUUUUGUACAAAGUUUUGGUGAACACUGCAGUACAUAUGAUAUUAAUCAUGGAGUUUACUGUUUUGAAGUUGCACAAAUUAUAUUUUUGAGUUCAUAGUUUCCCUAUUUUAGUGUGCAAAUUGCUGGAAUUAAAUUUCAAAGGAAACAAGACAUUGUUUGCAUUCAGCAAUACUAACUGUUUCCAUUCAGCAAUUCUCAGCAACUAAUUGAUCAUUUCAUCUUAAGAUAGCCUAACACAGGAAUUAUUGAAUUCUUUCUUUGCUUCACUAGUAAUGCCGGCCUCCUAACACAAGUUGUUUCUGUUACCUGAUAGUAUCAUUACUGUUGGUCCUUCAAUUUUGUGAGAAAUAAGAAGUGUGUAUCUUGGUUACUCUUUAACUGGUGUGAAAUUUUUCUUCUAAAGUUGUGCAUCCAUACUAAUGACCUUGUCCCUAUAAUAUCCUUCCUUCUGGAUAGACUCAUUUGUGUUGUAUAUUAUGCAGUUCAAAUACUACAUUAUUUGGUAAUGGUGUGCACUUGUCUUUUUAACUGUGAGUUGAAUCCUACCUAGAAGUCCUUGUGUGUGUCCUUCAGUAGACUCCUGUUUCCCGUGCUGUCUACGGAUUAUAAUAAUAUAUGGUAAUGAAUUUCAUUAGGUACUGUCUUUUAUAGUUGUUUGGUGUUGUUUCACUCUAAUUGUCUUUCCAGAUUUCCCCUAUAAAAUGGUUAUCUGUCUAACUGUAGAGUUAUCUUCAGGUGCAAUAACUAUUAAGUAGAUGAUGAUGAGGAGUUAUGUAUGCAUUUUGUUGCAUUGAAAUUGCAGCAUUUUGUUGUGUCUGUGUGUUUGUGCAAAACCUGAUGUAGCUGUUUGAUUCCAAUUUUUCUCUUAUCAUCUUUGCAGCAUUGAAGUGGUAUGAGGUCAGCUAUAGAUUGACGCUUUUAUGGAAGUUGAGUAAUGCAAUGUUGUUGUGUCUUCUGUUAAUGAAAUUGUAAUGUCCUCGUGCCGAAUUGCACUAUGAGUUUACUGAGCUAUUCCAAGUUUCCGUUGGUCGUUGAUUAUCAUCAUUCGCAUGCUGGCUAACGUGAAAUAUGCUCAUUCCAAGUUUGUCUUCCCUGCCAUGGCAUAAUUUUCUCCUUGCCUGUGCUGUUUGUAAUUACUGCUGUUUGAUUAGUGGUUUUAGCUGUGAUGGUUGUAUUUUUAAUACUAGCAGUUUGUAUAGCUCCUUCUAUAUGUGGUUUGUACUAAUAACUAAUCGUGAUGAAUUUUGUUGUGAUUUGAGCACUGUGGAUUGGAUAUUUUUCGUUCCUGUUUAAUUUUCUUGUUUAUGCUUGGGGGUAGGUGUUAGGG
This 5129-nucleotide long non-coding RNA is filed under the name Setaria viridis. RNAcentral's name for it is "long non-coding RNA (SVIR_LNC008609)". Lineage: Eukaryota; Viridiplantae; Streptophyta; Magnoliopsida; Poales; Poaceae. The record is from RNAcentral.